GGUAGAGUGGCCGAGCAGUUAGGCGGCGGAUUGUAGCUCCGUAGACAGAGGUGCGAAACCUUUUACUAUCA
This 71-nucleotide transfer RNA is filed under the name Betadevario ramachandrani. RNAcentral describes it as "tRNA-Tyr". It matches the Rfam family "tRNA". Rfam says of the family: Transfer RNA (tRNA) molecules are approximately 80 nucleotides in length. Their secondary structure includes four short double-helical elements and three loops (D, anti-codon, and T loops). The record is from RNAcentral. Lineage: Eukaryota; Metazoa; Chordata; Actinopteri; Cypriniformes; Danionidae.